This 580-nucleotide ribosomal RNA is filed under the name uncultured Rubrobacter sp. Its description in RNAcentral is "bacterial SSU rRNA". It matches the Rfam family "Bacterial small subunit ribosomal RNA", at positions 346 to 918 of the family's 1533-position model. Lineage: Bacteria; Bacillati; Actinomycetota; Rubrobacteria; Rubrobacterales; Rubrobacteraceae. The record is from RNAcentral.
UGGCCGCGGGAUUGGAAUCUUGCACAAUGGGCGAAAGCCUGAUGCAGCAACACCGUGUGAGCGAUGAAGGCCCUAGGGUCGUAAAGCUCUGUUGUUAGGGACGAAGGGCGAAGGGUUAAUAGCCCUUAGCCUGACGGUACCUUUCGAGGAAGCCCCGGCUAACUACGUGCCAGCAGCCGCGGUAAUACGUAGGGGGCGAGCGUUGUCCGGAAUUAUUGGCGUAAAGGGCGCGUAGGCGGCCUGGUAAGUCUGCUGUGAAACCUUGGGGCUCAACCCCAAGCGUGCAGUGGAUACUGUCAGGCUAGAGGAUGGUAGAGGCCAGUGGAAUUCCCGGUGUAGCGGUGAAAUGCGCAGAUAUCGGGAGGAACACCAGUAGCGAAGGCGGCUGGCUGGGCCAUUCCUGACGCUGAGGCGCGAAAGCAUGGGGAGCGAACAGGAUUAGAUACCCUGGUAGUCCAUGCCGUAAACGAUGAACACUAGGUGUGGGGGGAGUCGAAUCCCUCCGUGCCGAAGCCAACGCGUUAAGUGUUCCGCCUGGGGAGUACGGCCGCAAGGCUAAAACUCAAAUGAAUUGACGGGG